UGCUUAGUAGUUAAUGGUUAUAUAACUAAGAACUGCAAAUUCUUCAUAGUCUAGUUAGGCCUAAGCUU
This 68-nucleotide transfer RNA is filed under the name Mytilus coruscus. RNAcentral's name for it is "tRNA-Cys". The record is from RNAcentral. Lineage: Eukaryota; Metazoa; Mollusca; Bivalvia; Mytilida; Mytilidae.